CAGCCGCCACGGGAAUACGGAGGGUGCGAGCGUUAAUCGGAAUUACUGGGCGUAAAGCGUGCGCAGGCGGUUUGUUAAGCGAGAUGUGAAAGCCCCGGGCUCAACCUGGGAACCGCAUUUCGAACUGGCAAACUAGAGUCUUGUAGAGGGGGGUAGAAUUCCAGGUGUAGCGGUGAAAUGCGUAGAGAUCUGGAGGAAUACCGGUGGCGAAGGCGGCCCCCUGGACAAAGACUGACGCUCAGGCACGAAAGCGUGGGGAGCAAACAGGAUUAGAUACCCGUGUAGUCCCUGUCUCUUAUAC
This 301-nucleotide ribosomal RNA is filed under the name uncultured bacterium. RNAcentral's name for it is "partial 16S ribosomal RNA". It matches the Rfam family "Bacterial small subunit ribosomal RNA", at positions 509 to 807 of the family's 1533-position model. The record is from RNAcentral.